AGUGAACGCUGGCGGUAGGCCUAACACAUGCAAGUCGAACGGCAGCACAGUAAGAGCUUGCUCUUACGGGUGGCGAGUGGCGGACGGGUGAGGAAUACAUCGGAAUCUACUUUUUCGGGGGGGAUAACGUAGGGAAACUUACGCUAAUACCGCAUACGACCUACGGGUGAAGGCAGGGGAUCUUCGGACCUGUCGGGAUUGAACGAGCCGAUGACGUAUUUGCUAGUUGGCGGGGUGAAGGCCAACUAAGUCGGCGAUCCGUAGCUGGUCUGAGAGAAUGGUCGCCCGCAUUGGAACUGGAACAGCGUCCAGACUCCUACGAGACGCAGCAGUGUGGAAUAUUAGGCAGUAGUCGCAAGCCUGAUCCAGCCAGACCGCGUGGGUGACGAAGGCCUUCCGGUUGUAAAGCCCUUUUGUUGGGAAAGAAAAGCAGCAGGUUAAUACCCCGCGGUUCUGACGGUACCCAAAGAAUAAGCACCGGCUAACUUCGUG
RNAcentral lists this ribosomal RNA (492 nucleotides) under uncultured bacterium. RNAcentral describes it as "partial 16S ribosomal RNA". It matches the Rfam family "Bacterial small subunit ribosomal RNA", at positions 29 to 507 of the family's 1533-position model. The record is from RNAcentral.